RNAcentral lists this ribosomal RNA (2250 nucleotides) under Acinetobacter baumannii 1195185_11. Its description in RNAcentral is "bacterial LSU rRNA". It matches the Rfam family "Bacterial large subunit ribosomal RNA", at positions 695 to 2925 of the family's 2925-position model. Lineage: Bacteria; Pseudomonadati; Pseudomonadota; Gammaproteobacteria; Moraxellales; Moraxellaceae. The record is from RNAcentral.
UUUAGUUGCUGGGUAUAGACCCGAAACCAGGCGAUCUAUCCAUGAGCAGGUUGAAGGUUGGGUAACACUAACUGGAGGACCGAACCCACUGUCGUUGAAAAGCCAGGGGAUGACUUGUGGAUAGGGGUGAAAGGCUAAUCAAGCCUGGUGAUAGCUGGUUCUCCCCGAAAGCUAUUUAGGUAGCGCCUCGGACGAAUACCAUAGGGGGUAGAGCACUGUUUCGGCUAGGGGGUCAUCCCGACUUACCAAACCGAUGCAAACUCCGAAUACCUAUGAGUACUAUCCGGGAGACAGACUGCGGGUGCUAACGUCCGUAGUCAAGAGGAAAACAAUCCAGACCGCCAGCUAAGGCCCCAAAAUCAUAGUUAAGUGGGAAACGAUGUGGGAAGGCAUAGACAGCUAGGAGGUUGGCUUAGAAGCAGCCACCCUUUAAAGAAAGCGUAAUAGCUCACUAGUCGAGUCGGCCUGCGCGGAAGAUGUAACGGGGCUAAAACUAUGUGCCGAAGCUGCGGAUGUAUACUUUGUAUACGUGGUAGGGGAGCGUUCUGUAAGCCGAUGAAGGUGUGUUGAGAAGCAUGCUGGAGGUAUCAGAAGUGCGAAUGCUGACGUGAGUAACGACAAAACGGGUGAAAAACCCGUUCGCCGAAAGACCAAGGGUUCCAGUCCAACGUUAAUCGGGGCUGGGUGAGUCGACCCCUAAGGCGAGGCCGAAAGGCGUAGUCGAUGGGAAAAUGGUUAAUAUUCCAUUACUUCUGUGUAAUGCGAUGAGAGGACGGAGAAGGCUAAAUCAGCCUGGCGUUGGUUGUCCAGGUGAAAGGAUGUAGGCAUGUAUCUUAGGCAAAUCCGGGGUACUCUAUGCUGAGAUCUGAUAGCAAGCUGUACUUGUACAGCGAAGUGGUUGAUGCCAUGCUUCCAGGAAAAGUCUCUAAGCUUCAGUUACACAGGAAUCGUACCCGAAACCGACACAGGUGGUCAGGUCGAGUAGACCAAGGCGCUUGAGAGAACUCUGCUGAAGGAACUAGGCAAAAUGGUACCGUAACUUCGGGAGAAGGUACGCUGUUGUUGGUGAUGGAACUCGCUUCCUGAGCUGACGACAGCCGCAGAAACCAGGCCGCUGCAACUGUUUAUUAAAAACAUAGCACUCUGCAAACACGAAAGUGGACGUAUAGGGUGUGAUGCCUGCCCGGUGCUGGAAGGUUAAUUGAUGGGGUUAGCGUAAGCGAAGCUCUUGAUCGAAGCCCCAGUAAACGGCGGCCGUAACUAUAACGGUCCUAAGGUAGCGAAAUUCCUUGUCGGGUAAGUUCCGACCUGCACGAAUGGCAUAAUGAUGGCGGCGCUGUCUCCAGCAGAGGCUCAGUGAAAUCGAAAUCGCUGUGAAGAUGCAGUGUACCCGCGGCUAGACGGAAAGACCCCGUGAACCUUUACUGCAGCUUGACACUGAACUUUGACCUUACUUGUGUAGGAUAGGUGGGAGGCUUUGAAGCUGGAACGCUAGUUCCAGUGGAGCCGUCCUUGAAAUACCACCCUGGUAAUGUUGAGGUUCUAACUCUGUCCCGUGAUCCGGGACGAGGACCGUGUCUGGUGGGUAGUUUGACUGGGGCGGUCUCCUCCUAAAGAGUAACGGAGGAGUACGAAGGUGCGCUCAGCGUGGUCGGAAAUCACGCGUAGAGUAUAAAGGCAAAAGCGCGCUUAACUGCGAGACCCACAAGUCGAGCAGGUACGAAAGUAGGUCUUAGUGAUCCGGUGGUUCUGUAUGGAAGGGCCAUCGCUCAACGGAUAAAAGGUACUCUGGGGAUAACAGGCUGAUACCGCCCAAGAGUUCAUAUCGACGGCGGUGUUUGGCACCUCGAUGUCGGCUCAUCUCAUCCUGGGGCUGAAGCAGGUCCCAAGGGUAUGGCUGUUCGCCAUUUAAAGAGGUACGCGAGCUGGGUUUAGAACGUCGUGAGACAGUUCGGUCCCUAUCUACCGUGGGCGCUGGAAAUUUGAGAGGAUCUGCUCCUAGUACGAGAGGACCAGAGUGGACGAACCUCUGGUGUACCGGUUGUGACGCCAGUCGCAUCGCCGGGUAGCUAUGUUCGGAAGGGAUAACCGCUGAAAGCAUCUAAGCGGGAAGCCUACCUCAAGAUAAGAUUUCCCUAGGACUUUAUGUCCUCUAAAGAGCCGUUCGAGACUAGGACGUUGAUAGGUUGGAUGUGGAAGCAUAGUGAUAUGUGAAGCUGACCAAUACUAAUUGCUCGUGAGGCUUGACUA